GCGGGCCCAACACAUUGCAAGUUCGAGCGGUAGCACAGAGAGCUUGCUCUCGGGUGACGAGCGGCGGACGGGUGAGUAAUGUCUGGGAAACUGCCUGAUGGAGGGGGAUAACUACUGGAAACGGUAGCUAAUACCGCAUAACGUCGCAAGACCAAAGUGGGGGACCUUCGGGCCUCAUGCCAUCAGAUGUGCCCAGAUGGGAUUAGCUAGUAGGUGGGGUAACGGCUCACCUAGGCGACGAUCCCUAGCUGGUCUGAGAGGAUGACCAGCCACACUGGAACUGAGACACGGUCCAGACUCCUACGGGAGGCAGCAGUGGGGAAUAUUGCACAAUGGGCGCAAGCCUGAUGCAGCCAUGCCGCGUGUAUGAAGAAGGCCUUCGGGUUGUAAAGUACUUUCAGCGGGGAGGAAGGCGAUAAGGUUAAUAACCUUGUCGAUUGACGUUACCCGCAGA
RNAcentral lists this ribosomal RNA (454 nucleotides) under Klebsiella pneumoniae. RNAcentral's name for it is "bacterial SSU rRNA". It matches the Rfam family "Bacterial small subunit ribosomal RNA", at positions 42 to 485 of the family's 1533-position model. The record is from RNAcentral. Lineage: Bacteria; Pseudomonadati; Pseudomonadota; Gammaproteobacteria; Enterobacterales; Enterobacteriaceae.